UUAAAUACAGCACUUAGAUAAUUGGUUGUUAACAUGACACAACCAUAUAAUAAAGACAUGUAAUAAUAUAAUUGUUGUUAUACUUAGAACAUAAACCAACAAACAAACAACUUCCACUUUUAAAACCUACAAUUUCUUCUAUACAAAGUUGUUUCCAUAGAUUAAGAUAACUUGAAAUUCCUUCCCUUCAGCGUCCAUAUGGGACACUCCCUGUAUUUU
RNAcentral lists this long non-coding RNA (219 nucleotides) under Trifolium pratense (red clover). RNAcentral's name for it is "long non-coding RNA (TPRA_LNC002225)". Lineage: Eukaryota; Viridiplantae; Streptophyta; Magnoliopsida; Fabales; Fabaceae. The record is from RNAcentral.